UGUUCUCCCAAGACUUCAACUUUAAGUAUAUCAACAAGCUCACAAAGAAGAUCAAUAUUUGUUUCAUGAAUAAGUUUUGGGCGCAGUGUAUCAUACAAGAAAGUAGACAAAGGAUCAAGCAAUGGAGCCAAACCAGAAAUAUCCUCUGAAGAAGAUGGGAAAAAGUGAUCAAAGAGUUGGUGCUCAAGUUGACAAACCUGCAUUAGAUAUGCACAUCCAGAUCUAGUUAAUGAUGGCAAGGCCUCUUUCUUGGCAAAUUCAGAUACUCGUUGAAGUACUAUGCCUUUUACC
Molecule: unclassified non-coding RNA, 291 nt
Filed under: Hevea brasiliensis (rubber tree)
Lineage: Eukaryota; Viridiplantae; Streptophyta; Magnoliopsida; Malpighiales; Euphorbiaceae
Source: RNAcentral